Molecule: ribosomal RNA, 1424 nt
Filed under: uncultured fungus
Lineage: Eukaryota; Fungi
Description: eukaryotic LSU rRNA
Rfam family: Eukaryotic large subunit ribosomal RNA (bases 787-1424)
Source: RNAcentral
GUCGUAACAAGGUUUCCGUAGGUGAACCUGCGGAAGGAUCAUUAGAAAUGGAAAAAAGUGGUAAUAUUACCGCAAAGCUCCAAUUAUUCAACGCGGACUGGGGGAUGGCUGACCUAGGAUGACGGUGUCAGUAGCUGGAAGUUUGCUUCUGGUAGUGUUAAGAUAUGUUUUGUAUAAACAUCCACUGUAAAAAGAUCUUUUCACCUGACUCAAGACUGGGAACGUUGGAACCUGGAAAGUGUUAAACACCGACUGUGUCUUAUGGGCACAGACAGUGUGAAAUUACUUGUUGAAACACUUUAAUUUAUGCUUCGGCUGCACCUUCCGCCUUAAAAAAGUGGAUGGAUAAGUCAGCCAGAGGCACUUCUUAAUAAAAUUAGUUGAUGAAAUGUCAUGCUGUCUGAUACUGUUUAGUAUUUGAGAAAUCGAAUAUAUAUUAAAACUUUCAGCAACGGAUCUCUUGGUUCUCGCAUCGAUGAAGAACGCAGCGAAACGCGAUAGGUAAUGUGAAUUGCAGAAUUCCGUGAAUCAUCGAAUCUUUGAACGCACAUUGCGCCUUCUGGUAUUCCGGUAGGCAUAUCUGUUUGGGCGUCAGCAAAAACCUCUCAGCAUAUUAUUAUGUUGGUAAUGGGCGUUGGUGGUGAUCCACCCGCUUUAAACCUGCUGCACGACCGCAAGCUACUGCUAGGUUUCAUGAAGUUGGUGUUUACAUUUUUUCAUAACUUGGCUGUUGGCGAGCGGCGUUAAACCCGAUGGUCCACUCCUUAACAAGAGGGGACCGAAGUUUGACCUCAAAUCAGAUAAGGAUACCCGCUGAACUUAAGCAUAUCAAUAAGCGGAGGAAAAGAAACCAACAGGGAUUGCCUCAGUAACGGCGAGUGAAACGGCAAGAGCUCAGAUUUGAAAUCCGGUAGGCUUUGCCUUCCCGAGUUGUAAUCUGUAGAGAGGACUUCGGCUAAGGCGAUGGUCUAGAUUCCUUGGAAUAGGAUGACACAGAGGGUGAGAAUCCCGUCUUUGGCUGACUGCCGAUGCCAUGUGAAGCUUCUUCGGCGAGUCGAGUUGUUUGGGAAUGCAGCUCUAAAUGGGUGGUAAAUUCCAUCUAAGGCUAAAUAUCUGCGAGAGACCGAUAGCGCACAAGUAGAGUGAUCGAAAGAUGAAAAGCACUUUGAAAAGAGAGUUAAAAAGUACGUGAAAUUGUUGAAAGGGAAGCGCUUGCUAUCAGAAUUGGGGUUGACCGAUCAGCGUUCCUUUUGGUUCGUGCACUCGGUUGACAUUCCGUGCCAGCACCAGUUGGGACGGCAUGAUAAAGGCGACGGGAAUGUGGCUCCCCUCGGGGAGUGUUAUAGCCCGACGUGUCAUGAUGCCAGUCCCGACUGAGGACCGCGCCCUAGGCAAGGGUGCUGGCUUAAUGGUUGUAAGCGGCC